This 377-nucleotide ribosomal RNA is filed under the name uncultured cyanobacterium. RNAcentral describes it as "bacterial SSU rRNA". It matches the Rfam family "Bacterial small subunit ribosomal RNA", at positions 376 to 770 of the family's 1533-position model. Lineage: Bacteria; Bacillati; Cyanobacteriota. The record is from RNAcentral.
CGCAAGCCUGACGGAGCAAGACCGCGUGCGGGAUGACGGCCUAAUGGUUGUAAACCGCUUUUCUCUGGGAAGAUGAUGACGGUACCAGAGGAAUCAGCCUCGGCUAACUCCGUGCCAGCAGCCGCGGUAAUACGGAGGAGGCAAGCGUUAUCCGGAAUUAUUGGGCGUAAAGCGUCCGUAGGUGGUUAUUCAAGUCUGCUGUCAAAGCGUGGGGCUUAACUCCAUAGAGGCAGUGGAAACUGGAUGACUUGAGUGCGGUAGGGGUCGAGGGAACUCCCAGUGUAGCGGUGAAAUGCGUAGAUAUUGGGAAGAACACCAGUGGCGAAAGCGCUCGACUGGGCCUGCACUGACACUGAGGGACGAAAGCUAGGGGAGCG